RNAcentral lists this ribosomal RNA (2659 nucleotides) under Escherichia coli K-12. RNAcentral's name for it is "bacterial LSU rRNA". It matches the Rfam family "Bacterial large subunit ribosomal RNA". Lineage: Bacteria; Pseudomonadati; Pseudomonadota; Gammaproteobacteria; Enterobacterales; Enterobacteriaceae. The record is from RNAcentral.
GGUUAAGCGACUAAGCGUACACGGUGGAUGCCCUGGCAGUCAGAGGCGAUGAAGGACGUGCUAAUCUGCGAUAAGCGUCGGUAAGGUGAUAUGAACCGUUAUAACCGGCGAUUUCCGAAUGGGGAAACCCAGUGUGUUUCGACACACUAUCAUUAACUGAAUCCAUAGGUUAAUGAGGCGAACCGGGGGAACUGAAACAUCUAAGUACCCCGAGGAAAAGAAAUCAACCGAGAUUCCCCCAGUAGCGGCGAGCGAACGGGGAGCAGCCCAGAGCCUGAAUCAGUGUGUGUGUUAGUGGAAGCGUCUGGAAAGGCGCGCGAUACAGGGUGACAGCCCCGUACACAAAAAUGCACAUGCUGUGAGCUCGAUGAGUAGGGCGGGACACGUGGUAUCCUGUCUGAAUAUGGGGGGACCAUCCUCCAAGGCUAAAUACUCCUGACUGACCGAUAGUGAACCAGUACCGUGAGGGAAAGGCGAAAAGAACCCCGGCGAGGGGAGUGAAAAAGAACCUGAAACCGUGUACGUACAAGCAGUGGGAGCACGCUUAGGCGUGUGACUGCGUACCUUUUGUAUAAUGGGUCAGCGACUUAUAUUCUGUAGCAAGGUUAACCGAAUAGGGGAGCCGAAGGGAAACCGAGUCUUAACUGGGCGUUAAGUUGCAGGGUAUAGACCCGAAACCCGGUGAUCUAGCCAUGGGCAGGUUGAAGGUUGGGUAACACUAACUGGAGGACCGAACCGACUAAUGUUGAAAAAUUAGCGGAUGACUUGUGGCUGGGGGUGAAAGGCCAAUCAAACCGGGAGAUAGCUGGUUCUCCCCGAAAGCUAUUUAGGUAGCGCCUCGUGAAUUCAUCUCCGGGGGUAGAGCACUGUUUCGGCAAGGGGGUCAUCCCGACUUACCAACCCGAUGCAAACUGCGAAUACCGGAGAAUGUUAUCACGGGAGACACACGGCGGGUGCUAACGUCCGUCGUGAAGAGGGAAACAACCCAGACCGCCAGCUAAGGUCCCAAAGUCAUGGUUAAGUGGGAAACGAUGUGGGAAGGCCCAGACAGCCAGGAUGUUGGCUUAGAAGCAGCCAUCAUUUAAAGAAAGCGUAAUAGCUCACUGGUCGAGUCGGCCUGCGCGGAAGAUGUAACGGGGCUAAACCAUGCACCGAAGCUGCGGCAGCGACGCUUAUGCGUUGUUGGGUAGGGGAGCGUUCUGUAAGCCUGCGAAGGUGUGCUGUGAGGCAUGCUGGAGGUAUCAGAAGUGCGAAUGCUGACAUAAGUAACGAUAAAGCGGGUGAAAAGCCCGCUCGCCGGAAGACCAAGGGUUCCUGUCCAACGUUAAUCGGGGCAGGGUGAGUCGACCCCUAAGGCGAGGCCGAAAGGCGUAGUCGAUGGGAAACAGGUUAAUAUUCCUGUACUUGGUGUUACUGCGAAGGGGGGACGGAGAAGGCUAUGUUGGCCGGGCGACGGUUGUCCCGGUUUAAGCGUGUAGGCUGGUUUUCCAGGCAAAUCCGGAAAAUCAAGGCUGAGGCGUGAUGACGAGGCACUACGGUGCUGAAGCAACAAAUGCCCUGCUUCCAGGAAAAGCCUCUAAGCAUCAGGUAACAUCAAAUCGUACCCCAAACCGACACAGGUGGUCAGGUAGAGAAUACCAAGGCGCUUGAGAGAACUCGGGUGAAGGAACUAGGCAAAAUGGUGCCGUAACUUCGGGAGAAGGCACGCUGAUAUGUAGGUGAAGCGACUUGCUCGUGGAGCUGAAAUCAGUCGAAGAUACCAGCUGGCUGCAACUGUUUAUUAAAAACACAGCACUGUGCAAACACGAAAGUGGACGUAUACGGUGUGACGCCUGCCCGGUGCCGGAAGGUUAAUUGAUGGGGUUAGCGCAAGCGAAGCUCUUGAUCGAAGCCCCGGUAAACGGCGGCCGUAACUAUAACGGUCCUAAGGUAGCGAAAUUCCUUGUCGGGUAAGUUCCGACCUGCACGAAUGGCGUAAUGAUGGCCAGGCUGUCUCCACCCGAGACUCAGUGAAAUUGAACUCGCUGUGAAGAUGCAGUGUACCCGCGGCAAGACGGAAAGACCCCGUGAACCUUUACUAUAGCUUGACACUGAACAUUGAGCCUUGAUGUGUAGGAUAGGUGGGAGGCUUUGAAGUGUGGACGCCAGUCUGCAUGGAGCCGACCUUGAAAUACCACCCUUUAAUGUUUGAUGUUCUAACGUUGACCCGUAAUCCGGGUUGCGGACAGUGUCUGGUGGGUAGUUUGACUGGGGCGGUCUCCUCCUAAAGAGUAACGGAGGAGCACGAAGGUUGGCUAAUCCUGGUCGGACAUCAGGAGGUUAGUGCAAUGGCAUAAGCCAGCUUGACUGCGAGCGUGACGGCGCGAGCAGGUGCGAAAGCAGGUCAUAGUGAUCCGGUGGUUCUGAAUGGAAGGGCCAUCGCUCAACGGAUAAAAGGUACUCCGGGGAUAACAGGCUGAUACCGCCCAAGAGUUCAUAUCGACGGCGGUGUUUGGCACCUCGAUGUCGGCUCAUCACAUCCUGGGGCUGAAGUAGGUCCCAAGGGUAUGGCUGUUCGCCAUUUAAAGUGGUACGCGAGCUGGGUUUAGAACGUCGUGAGACAGUUCGGUCCCUAUCUGCCGUGGGCGCUGGAGAACUGAGGGGGGCUGCUCCUAGUACG